GCAUUGGUAGCUCAGCGUUAGAGCACUGGUC
This 31-nucleotide transfer RNA is filed under the name Nandus oxyrhynchus. RNAcentral describes it as "partial tRNA-Thr". Lineage: Eukaryota; Metazoa; Chordata; Actinopteri; Anabantiformes; Nandidae. The record is from RNAcentral.